CGGCCCGAGCAGCCAGAGGACAAACCGAGGACGCGCGGGCGGGGGCCAGAACCACCCCAGGGGCCGAGCCCCACGGCCCGGGCUGGGCUGAGGGGACCCUGGGAGGUCCCUGCCCACCCCAGAUCGCCGCUGCUGCGGGUCCUGGGCCCUCUCCUGCCACCGACCACCACCAGGCUGGGGCUGACAGAGCUGAGGCUUGGGACGAGGCCUGGCGGCAUUUUCCCCUCCUGCAUGUGCUUCACCUCCAGCGAGAGCUUCCCCGCGGUGCUGUACGAAGCCCUGCUCAGCCAGGGGGGCUUCCAGCGCCCUGUGGGGGGGCUGCGUCCCUCUCUGAGCAUUUUAUAUAAAAACACCACAUGGAAAUCACUCCUGUUCCUGCCUCGUUCCAUCCCCCUUCGUGUGCUGUCACCGGGGCGGAGAGGGGGCUGGGAGGGCCUUUUAGGACACCUUUAUGUCAAAAAACACCGGGCACGGUCGCUCUUUUCCCUUUAUUUAUUUAUUUAUUUAUUUGGGGGGGGUGGGACCCGGCGGAACGGUGCCGGAGCGGAACGCGCGCCGCCUCCGUCCCGGUCCCGAUCCUGUCCCCGUUCCCGUCCCCGGUCCCGGUCCCGGCCAUGCAGGGCUGCGGCCGCGUGCAAGCGGCCGGGGGGCCGCGGGGCCGCGCUGCCCGCGGGGCCGGACCUGAGGCACUUCCUGAGGGCCCCCCCCGGGCCGCCACCGCCCCCCGGGCCGGAGCUGGGCGCUGCCGCCGGGCCUGGCACAGGUCGGUGCCGCCGGGCCCUGCCCUGCCCUGCCCUGCCCUGCCUGCUAGGCCGAGGCCAGGCUGAAGCCCCGGUUGGGGUUGUGGUGGGCGAGCUGCGGGGCUGUGGGCGCCCCGGGCUGCCAGCAGCAGCUGUGGCAGGGCUUGCAGGGUGCAGUGCCCAGGGGAGAGGGGCAUUAAUUGCAGGGAGAGGGGCAUUCAUUGCACCGAGAGCCGUGUCUCAGUAGGGCAGGAGCUGCAGCCCCUCUGCUUGCCACCGUCCAGGCCUCUGGUGUUGGAGUGAUGUGCUCGGGGGCAUUCGGGUUUCCCAGUGCCACCAGCAGAGCCUGCCUUUAAU
This 1097-nucleotide long non-coding RNA is filed under the name Anas platyrhynchos platyrhynchos (common mallard). RNAcentral describes it as "lncRNA (ENSAPLG00000028780.1)". Lineage: Eukaryota; Metazoa; Chordata; Aves; Anseriformes; Anatidae. The record is from RNAcentral.